AACGAACGCUGGCGGCGUGCUUAACACAUGCAAGUCGAACGCGAAAGUUUCCUUCGGGAAGCGAGUAGAGUGGCGCACGGGUGAGUAACACGUGGAUAAUCUGCCCGACGAUUCGGGAUAACAUUCCGAAAGGAGUGCUAAUACCGGAUAAGCCCACAGGCUCUUCGGAGUUUGCGGGAAAAGGUGGGGACCUUCGGGCCUACCGUCGUCGGAUGAGUCCGCGUCCCAUUAGCUAGUUGGCGGGGUAAUGGCCCACCAAGGCGACGAUGGGUAGCUGGUCUGAGAGGAUGAUCAGCCACACUGGAACUGAGACACGGUCCAGACUCCUACGGGAGGCAGCAGUGGGGAAUUUUGCGCAAUGGGGGAAACCCUGACGCAGCAACGCCGCGUGAGUGAUGAAGGCUUUCGGGUCGUAAAGCUCUGUCAGAGGGGAAGAAACUCUUGUGGUCGAACAGGCCGCAGGAUUGACGGUACCCUCAAAGGAAGCACCGGCUAACUCCGUG
Molecule: ribosomal RNA, 503 nt
Filed under: uncultured organism
Description: bacterial SSU rRNA
Rfam family: Bacterial small subunit ribosomal RNA
Source: RNAcentral